Molecule: ribosomal RNA, 513 nt
Filed under: uncultured bacterium
Lineage: Bacteria
Description: partial 16S ribosomal RNA
Rfam family: Bacterial small subunit ribosomal RNA
Source: RNAcentral
GAUGAACGCUGGCGGCGUGCCUAAUACAUGCAAGUCGAACGCACAGCGAAAGGUGCUUGCACCUUUCAAGUGAGUGGCGAACGGGUGAGUAACACGUGGACAACCUGCCUCAAGGCUGGGGAUAACAUUUGGAAACAGAUGCUAAUACCGAAUAAAACUCAGUGUCGCAUGACACAAAGUUAAAAGGCGCUUUGGCGUCACCUAGAGAUGGAUCCGCGGUGCAUUAGUUAGUUGGUGGGGUAAAGGCCUACCAAGACAAUGAUGCAUAGCCGAGUUGGGAGACGGAUCGGCCACAUUGGGACUGAGACACGGCCCAAACUCCUACGGGAGGCUGCAGUAGGGAAUCUUCCACAAUGGGCGAAAGCCUGAUGGAGCAACGCCGCGUGUGUGAUGAAGGCUUUCGGGUCGUAAAGCACUGUUGUAUGGGAAGAACAGCUAGAAUAGGGAAUGAUUUUAGUUUGACGGUACCAUACCAGAAAGGGACGGCUAAAUACGUGCCAGCCGCCGCCGUAA